UAGAAAAUAAUAUAAUGGAAGUAUGGAGGGCUUUGAUCCCUUUUGUGCAGGUUCAACUCCUGCUUUUCUAA
RNAcentral lists this transfer RNA (71 nucleotides) under Aleadryas rufinucha (rufous-naped whistler). RNAcentral describes it as "tRNA-Gln". It matches the Rfam family "tRNA". Rfam says of the family: Transfer RNA (tRNA) molecules are approximately 80 nucleotides in length. Their secondary structure includes four short double-helical elements and three loops (D, anti-codon, and T loops). The record is from RNAcentral. Lineage: Eukaryota; Metazoa; Chordata; Aves; Passeriformes.